GACGAACGCUGGCGGCGUGCUUAACACAUGCAAGUCGAACGGAAAGGCCCUGCUUGCAUGGUACUCGCGUGGCGAACGGGUGAGUAACACGUGGGUGAUAUGCCCUGCACUUCGGGAUAAGCCUGGGAAACUGGGUCUAUUAUAGGAUAGGAGCCAUCCUUCGUGUGGUGGUUGGAUAGAUUUUUCGGUGUAGGAUGAGCUCGCGGCCUAUCAGCUUGCUGGUGGGGUAAUGGCCUACCAAGGCGGCGAUGGGUAGCCGGCCUGGGAGGGUGGACGGCCACAUUGGGACUGGGGUACGGCCCAGACUCCUACGGGAGGCAGCAGGGGGGAAUAUUGCACAAUGGGCGCAAGCCUGAUGCAGCGACGCCGCGGGGGGGAUGACGGCCUUCGGGUUGUAAACUCCUUUCGCUAGGGACGAAGCUUUUUGUGACGGUACCUAGAUAAGAAGCACCGGCUAACUACGUG
Molecule: ribosomal RNA, 465 nt
Filed under: uncultured bacterium
Lineage: Bacteria
Description: partial 16S ribosomal RNA
Rfam family: Bacterial small subunit ribosomal RNA
Source: RNAcentral